CCUACGGGGGGCAGCAGUGGGGAAUAUUGCACAAUGGGGGAAACCCUGAUGCAGCGACGCCGCGUGAGUGAAGAAGUAUCUCGGUACGUAAAGCUCUAUCAGCAGGGAAGAAAAUGACGGUACCUGACUAAGAAGCCCCGGCUAACUACGUUCCAGCAGCCGCGGUAAUACGUAGGGGGCAAGCGUUAUCCGGAUUUACUGGGUGUAAUGGGAGCGUAGACGGCAGCACAAGUCUGGAGUGAAAUCCCGAGGCUCAACCCCGGAACUGCCUUGGAAACUGUGCGGCUGGAGUGCAGGUGGGGUAAGCGGAAUUUCUGGUGUAGCGGUGAAAUGCGUAGAGAUUAGACGGAACACCGGUGGCGAAGGCGGCUUACUGGACUGUAUCUGACGUUGAGGCACGAAAGCGUGGGGAGCAAACAGGAUUAGAUACCCGGGUAGUC
This 440-nucleotide ribosomal RNA is filed under the name uncultured bacterium. RNAcentral describes it as "partial 16S ribosomal RNA". It matches the Rfam family "Bacterial small subunit ribosomal RNA", at positions 338 to 795 of the family's 1533-position model. The record is from RNAcentral.